GGAAUCAAGUAAAAAUGUCCAGAGAAGAGAAGUAGAGAUUCCAACAGACAGAAUCUGCCAGGAAGCUUCCAGGGACUACGGUGGUUCGGAGCCAAGUGAACCAUGAGAGAAAAACCAAACUGUUACCAUCUUGAAAACAAGAGUUUCAUCUGAACAGGGGAGAUGAAUUGUAACUUCUCAUCUUGUAGAAAGAAAGAACCUUCAAAACUACAGCCGCUAGGAUCUGGCAUUCCGUUCCGUUUCUGCCAAGCACUCCCGAACCAGUCCUCUAGCGUGAAUGAUGCCUGAAAGAGAAGCAGAGGCCAGGAUCAUCUGGUUCAUAGGAUCCGCCGGCCGACCCACUCCACUCCUGAACAGGAAGAAGGGCAAUCCUUUUACAGCCUGGCCACGAAACCCUCGGACUGGAAGGGGACUCAGAGGACAAUAUAUCCAAACAACCCUCAAGGCACUAACAAAUUCCUUCCUGCCUCUCAAAGCCCUUCCCUCCCAGACAAAGCUCUUCCUGUAUCCCCAGAAAUGUCCUGCACUCCAGGUGGCCCCAGCAAGCUCUCCUUGGGUAACAUUCUGUUGGCUGAUGAGAAUAAACGUGCCUCCACCUGAGUUCUUAAGCUU
Molecule: long non-coding RNA, 612 nt
Organism: Carlito syrichta (Philippine tarsier)
Lineage: Eukaryota; Metazoa; Chordata; Mammalia; Primates; Tarsiidae
Exons: 2
Source: RefSeq, a predicted model, not a curated record